RNAcentral lists this ribosomal RNA (752 nucleotides) under uncultured bacterium. Its description in RNAcentral is "bacterial SSU rRNA". It matches the Rfam family "Bacterial small subunit ribosomal RNA", at positions 28 to 776 of the family's 1533-position model. The record is from RNAcentral.
AUUGAACGCUGGCGGCAGGCUUAACACAUGCAAGUCGAACGAUGACGGUACUGCUUGCAGUACCUAAUUAGUGGCGGACGGGUGAGUAACGCUUAGGAAUCUACCUAAUAAUGGGGGAUAGCCCGGGGAAACUCGGAUUAAUACCGCAUACGUCUUACGAGAGAAAGGGGGCUACUUGUAGCUCUCGUUAUUAGAUGAGCCUAAGUUAGAUUAGCUAGAUGGUGGGGUAAAGGCCUACCAUGGCGACGAUCUAUAGCUGGUCUGAGAGGAUGAUCAGCCACACCGGAACUGAGACACGGUCCGGACUCCUACGGGAGGCAGCAGUGGGGAAUAUUGGACAAUGGGGGCAACCCUGAUCCAGCCAUGCCGCGUGUGUGAAGAAGGCCUUUUGGUUGUAAAGCACUUUAAGUAGCGAAGAAGACCCCAUGGUUAAUACCCAUGGGCGAUGACAUUAACUACAGAAUAAGCACCGGCUAACUCUGUGCCAGCAGCCGCGGUAAUACAGAGGGUGCGAGCGUUAAUCGGAAUUACUGGGCGUAAAGCGAGCGUAGGUGGUCUAAUAAGUCGGAUGUGAAAUCCCCGGGCUCAACCUGGGAACUGCAUCUGAAACUGUUAAACUAGAGUAGGUGAGAGGGGAGUAGAAUUUCAGGUGUAGCGGUGAAAUGCGUAGAUAUCUGAAGGAAUACCGAUGGCGAAGGCAGCUCCCUGGCAUCAUACUGACACUGAGCUCGAAGGCGUGGGUAGCAAACAGG